This 253-nucleotide ribosomal RNA is filed under the name uncultured bacterium. RNAcentral describes it as "partial 16S ribosomal RNA". It matches the Rfam family "Bacterial small subunit ribosomal RNA", at positions 524 to 776 of the family's 1533-position model. The record is from RNAcentral.
UACGUAGGUGGCAAGCGUUGUCCGGAGUUAUUGGGCGUAAAGCGCGCGCAGGCGGUGCGGUAAGUCUCUGGUGAAAGCGCUCGGCUUAACUGGGCGAGGGCCGGGGAGACUGCCACGCUGGAGGGGGGCAGAGGCGAGUGGAAUUCCGGGUGUAGUGGUGAAAUGCGUAGAGAUCCGGAGGAACACCAGUGGCGAAGGCGGCUCGCUGGGCUCUACCUGACGCUGAGGCGCGAAAGCGUGGGGAGCGAACCGG